Molecule: long non-coding RNA, 562 nt
Organism: Vidua macroura (Pin-tailed whydah)
Lineage: Eukaryota; Metazoa; Chordata; Aves; Passeriformes; Viduidae
Exons: 5
Source: RefSeq, a predicted model, not a curated record
GUGCUACAGUAUCUUUCCUAUACAUGCUGGAGGAAAUAUUGCUCAUUUGGAUUUUUGAAGAGAAAGACAUUUUAAGGACACUGAAAGAGUGAGAAGUUCAAGAGGCACAAUCUCAGCAGACAAACCAAGUCACAAACUUCUGGAUUCUUUAACUUACAAGGACAUGGAUUAUUUCUGAGACUUGUUUUGAAUGCCAGUUUCAUGCACAUAGUUGAAUCAAGUAGCACAUCUGAGCACAAGGCAAAAAGAAUUUGUUCCAAGUGACAAUGGCUGGUAACAAGAGUUGAAGGCCUCUGGAGAACACAGGAAUAGCACUGUCAUCCUGGGCCACAGAACCUGACCUCAGAAGGGAGCUGAGAGGAUGAACAUGGUUAAGUUUAAGGUGCUGAAAUACCACAACACUAAGUAUGAAGAUCAGCACUAGACUCUCCCUGCCUCCAGAAGACUCUCCUUCAGACACAUCCUACUGAGACUGCAAUUUAUCAGUGCUUCCACUACAGAACUAUAUCUUCAAGGAAGAAGUGAGCCUUGGUUUAGCUGAAAAGUAUACACUUUUUGAUGU